RNAcentral lists this ribosomal RNA (502 nucleotides) under uncultured Oxalobacteraceae bacterium. Its description in RNAcentral is "partial 16S ribosomal RNA". The record is from RNAcentral. Lineage: Bacteria; Pseudomonadati; Pseudomonadota; Betaproteobacteria; Burkholderiales; Oxalobacteraceae.
CACGUAGUUAGCCGGUGCUUAUUCUUCAGGUACCGUCAUUAGCCCAGGAUAUUAGCCCGGACCGUUUCUUCCCUGACAAAAGAGCUUUACAACCCGAAGGCCUUCUUCACUCACGCGGCAUUGCUGGAUCAGGCUUGCGCCCAUUGUCCAAAAUUCCCCACUGCUGCCUCCCGUAGGAGUCUGGGCCGUGUCUCAGUCCCAGUGUGGCUGGUCGUCCUCUCAGACCAGCUACUGAUCGUCGCCUUGGUGAGCCUUUACCUCACCAACUAGCUAAUCAGACAUCGGCCGCUCCAAAAGCAUGAGGUCCGAAGAUCCCCCACUUUCUUCCGUAGAACGUAUGCGGUAUUAGCGUAACUUUCGCUACGUUAUCCCCCACUUCUGGGUACGUUCCGAUGUAUUACUCACCCGUUCGCCACUCGCCGCCAGGUUGCCCCGCGCUGCCGUUCGACUUGCAUGUGUAAAGCAUGCCGCCAGCGUUCAAUCUGAGCCAGGAUCAAACUCU